CUGUCUUAUUUAUAUAAAUUGAAUUUAAUUUUUAAGUGAAAAGGCUUAAAUAUAGGAAAGGGACGAUAAGACCCUAUAAAACUUUAUAUAAAUAAUAAUAUAUUUUAGAGUUAUAAGUUUAGUAAGUUAUAGUAUUAUUAAUAUUUUAUUGGGGCGAUAGAAAUAUAGUAAACUGUUUUUAAAUUAAUCAAAUAUUGUUGAUUUGAAUGAUCCUUAUAUAGAGAUUAAAAGGAUAAGUUACUUUAGGGAUAACAGCGUAAUCUUUUUUGAGAGUUCAUAUCAAUAAAAGGGAUUGCGACCUCGAUGUUGAAUUAAAAUUUCUUUAUGGUGCAGUAGUUAUAAAAGAAGGUCUGUUCGACCUUUAAAUUUUUA
This 372-nucleotide ribosomal RNA is filed under the name Globospongicola spinulatus. RNAcentral's name for it is "partial 16S large subunit ribosomal RNA". The stretch from base 248 to 372 matches the Rfam family "Bacterial large subunit ribosomal RNA", at positions 2473 to 2598 of the family's 2925-position model. The record is from RNAcentral. Lineage: Eukaryota; Metazoa; Arthropoda; Malacostraca; Decapoda; Spongicolidae.